UACAGAGGUCCCAAGCGUUGUUCGGAUUCACUGGGCGUAAAGGGUGCGUAGGUGGUGAGGUAAGUCGGAUGUGAAAUCUCCGAGCUCAACUCGGAAAUGGCAUUGGAAACUACCUUGCUCGAGGGUUGGAGGGGGGACUGGAAUGCUUGGUGUAGCGGUGAAAUGCGCAGAUAUCGGGAGGAACACCAGUGGCGAAGGCGGCUACCUGGACCGGUUCUGACGCUGAUGCGCGAAAGCGUGGGUAGCAAACAGG
RNAcentral lists this ribosomal RNA (253 nucleotides) under uncultured bacterium. RNAcentral describes it as "partial 16S ribosomal RNA". It matches the Rfam family "Bacterial small subunit ribosomal RNA", at positions 524 to 776 of the family's 1533-position model. The record is from RNAcentral.